UACAGAGGUCUCAAGCGUUGUUCGGAUUCAUUGGGCGUAAAGGGUGCGUAGGCGGCGCGGUAAGUCGGAUGUGAAAUCUCGGAGCUUAACUUCGAAACUGCAUUCGAUACUGCCGUGCUUGAGGACUGGAGAGGAGACUGGAAUUUACGGUGUAGCGGUGAAAUGCGUAGAUAUCGUAAGGAAGACCAGUGGCGAAGGCGGAUCUCUGGGCCUUACCUGACGCUCAGGUGCGAAAGCUAGGGGAGCGAACAGG
RNAcentral lists this ribosomal RNA (253 nucleotides) under uncultured bacterium. RNAcentral's name for it is "partial 16S ribosomal RNA". It matches the Rfam family "Bacterial small subunit ribosomal RNA", at positions 524 to 776 of the family's 1533-position model. The record is from RNAcentral.